GCAGCGACGCCGCGUGGGGGAGGAAGGCCUUCGGGUCGUAAACCCCUUUCAGCAGGGACGAAAUUGACGGUACCUGCAGAAGAAGCGCCGGCCAACUACGUGCCAGCAGCCGCGGUAAUACGUAGGGCGCAAGCGUUGUCCGGAUUCAUUGGGCGUAAAGGGCUCGUAGGCGGUUUGGUAAGUCGGAUGUGAAAGGUUAGGGCUCAACCCUAAGAUUGCAUCCGAUACUGCUAUGACUAGAGUCCGGUAGAGGAGUGUGGAAUUCCUGGUGUAGCGGUGAAAUGCGCAGAUAUCAGGAGGAACACCGACGGCGAAGGCAGCACUCUGGGCCGGUACUGACGCUGAGGAGCGAAAGCGUGGGUAGCAAACAGGAUUAGAUACCCUGGUAGUCCACGCCGUAAACGUUGGGCACUAGGUGUGGGGCCUUAUCAACGGGUUCCGUGCCGUAGCUAACGCAUUAAGUGCC
Molecule: ribosomal RNA, 466 nt
Filed under: uncultured Acidimicrobiaceae bacterium
Lineage: Bacteria; Bacillati; Actinomycetota; Acidimicrobiia; Acidimicrobiales; Acidimicrobiaceae
Description: bacterial SSU rRNA
Rfam family: Bacterial small subunit ribosomal RNA
Source: RNAcentral